Molecule: ribosomal RNA, 482 nt
Filed under: uncultured bacterium
Lineage: Bacteria
Description: partial 16S ribosomal RNA
Rfam family: Bacterial small subunit ribosomal RNA
Source: RNAcentral
ACGAACGCUGGCGGCGUGCUUAACACAUGCAAGUCGAACGCUGAAGCUCAGCUUUUGUUGGGUGGAUGAGUGGCGAACGGGUGAGUAACACGUGAGUAACCUGCCCCCUUCUUUGGGAUAACGCCCGGAAACGGGUGCUAAUACUGGAUAUUCACUGGUCUUCGCAUGGGGGUUGGUGGAAAGGGUUUUUCUGGUGGGGGAUGGGCUCGCGGCCUAUCAGCUUGUUGGUGGGGUGAUGGCCUACCAAGGCUUUGACGGGUAGCCGGCCUGAGAGGGUGACCGGUCACAUUGGGACUGAGAUACGGCCCAGACUCCUACGGGAGGCAGCAGUGGGGAAUAUUGCACAAUGGGCGCAAGCCUGAUGCAGCGACGCCGCGUGAGGGAUGGAGGCCUUCGGGUUGUGAACCUCUUUCGCCCAUGGUCAAGCCGCAACAAUGGUUGUGGUGAGGGUAGUGGGUAAAGAAGCGCCGGCUAACUACGUG